Molecule: transfer RNA, 73 nt
Filed under: Loxodonta africana (African savanna elephant)
Lineage: Eukaryota; Metazoa; Chordata; Mammalia; Proboscidea; Elephantidae
Rfam family: tRNA
About the family: Transfer RNA (tRNA) molecules are approximately 80 nucleotides in length.
Source: Rfam by way of RNAcentral
GCCCUGGUGGCACAACAGUAAGCGUGCUUGGCUGCUAACCAAAAGGUUGGUCGUUUGAACCUACUCAGUGGCU